GUGCCGAGAGCAGUGGUCAUCGUUAUAGCGUCCGUCGUGAUGAAAGUGAGCGCAGUCUUCUCCGCCUCCCAAACCAUGAUGCUUCCAGUCAUCCGGCUGACCGGGCAUCCAUUCACUGCACACACACACACACACACACACACACACACACACACACACACACACACACACACACA
Long non-coding RNA from Puntigrus tetrazona (Sumatra barb), 176 nucleotides. RefSeq lists it as uncharacterized. The record is from RefSeq and is a predicted model, not a curated record. The transcript has 2 exons. NCBI's taxonomy places the organism in Eukaryota, Metazoa, Chordata, Actinopteri, Cypriniformes, Cyprinidae.